This is a long non-coding RNA of Anthonomus grandis grandis, 957 nucleotides long. RefSeq lists it as uncharacterized. The transcript is spliced from 3 exons. The record is from RefSeq and is a predicted model, not a curated record. Lineage: Eukaryota; Metazoa; Arthropoda; Insecta; Coleoptera; Curculionidae.
AUGUUUAGAAUUGCCGCAUUGAGAGGUUUUUGAAUGCACCGCGAAUCCGACUUUGAAUUUGACCAAUUAGAAUUUGUAACGCGUGCAUGCGUCAAUGAUGACUUCGACAGGUGCGCGUUUCCCCUCCAUACGGAGGUUCUGUUCUGUCUGUGCUUCGAACCGAUAAGCAUCUCCCAAAAAACGUGAUUUAGAGACAGAGUGGCAGUGAAGUAAAAGAAUCUGGCCGGCCCUGAAUUAGCAACAAACACCAACGGACCAUGAUUAUGAAAAACUGACCCCCUUUGAUCACGUAGAGAAGCCUCUGACAACAGAAUUUGCACCAAGCUAAUGAAUAGUCCUGUAGUACCUUAAAAAAUAAAUGAAAUGAAGGUUAAAAACUGCUCCCAGGUCUUUAGGAAUACAGUAGAAUCCUACAUAGAUAAUGUGGCAAAAUGAAACAUCAGGGACUAACAUAAAUUAACCAGUGAAGCUCAAUACACAUAACAAAGGUUCUCAUCUUAUUUCUGAAUAGACUGCCUCAAUGUCGCAACUUACUCUGAAGCUGACGCCAACCCUGAGAGAAGAACACUUUUAACAAUUUCAAUGCAUGAGCAAUUUUGGAGAGAUUCUAUACAAAUCUAGAAUCUAGGAAAUUUUUAAUGGCAAAUGGAGAAAUGGCAAAAAUCUAUUGCCUCUUUCAUUGCUAAUUUCUUGAGUUAUUUAAUUUAUAAUAUUUACUAAGGAACAUUGCUUGUGAGUCGAGUACGGGGUAAUUCCUUAGUGAUAUUCCUUCAUUCAUUGUUGGUGUUGCAACACAGCACUUUGCUCUUCAUACAACAGAGUUACUAAAUUAAGUUGUGAGUUUAUACAAAAUAGAAUUUGGACGAAUUUUGAUAAUUUAUUUAUUGUUUUUAACAAGAGUGUAUAACUGUUAAUUUUGAUUGUAUAACUGUAUAUUUUUUUUGUUCAAUUUUUUAA